AUCAUAAUAUUGGAUUUGUUUAUAGGGCCUAAGUAAUAGAAUUCUGUGAAUAUUGUAGUGAGUCACUUUGUUACAGUUCCUGUUUUAUGGAUAAUACUUACAUUGUCUUACGAUAAAAUGUAACCAUAUGAAGGUACAUAGAUAACCAAAUCGAACAUGGUGCCUGUUUCUUUGAUAUGCUGAAAGACACUUUGAUGCCUGAAUCUGUAUCCUGUCAGAUCAGGUUUUGAACUUCUCACGAUAAGAAAUUCGUAAACUCGGUUAUUAGAUGCUUUUCCCCUAUUUAUGUUUUGCAUUAUAACAAAUAUCUUAUUCUCUCCUUUUUAGAACAUGAAUCAGAUGUUCUCAUACUUACCUGGCCCCUAUUUCAAAAAAAAAACAUCCCUAGAGGCCUUGUUUAGUUCCGAGAAGUGAAAAGUUUUCAGUACUGUAGCAUUUUCGUUUGUUUGUGACAAAUAUUAUCCAAUCAUGGACUAACUAGGAUCAAAAGAUUCGUCUCGUGAUUUACAGCUAAAUUGUGUAAUUAGUUUUUGUUUUCGUCUAUAUUUAACAUUUCAUGCAUGUGCCACAAGAUUCGAUGUGACGGGGAAUCUUGAAAACUUUUUGGUUUUCAGGGUGAACUAAACAAGGCCAGAGUUUGUUACUUAUAAGGAUCCCAUCCUCUAUGAUUCAUGAGCCCUUUUUUGUUUGUUCAACUUAUUAGCAACGUGUCCUUUCAGUUCUCUGUCUAUAAUUGAAAUUUGAUCUAUUUUGGUUUACAAGUUACUUGAACUAAAUUUGGUUUGCAUUGCAUGCCAAACCUUGAGAAAUGACAUUUGUCAUGCAUGAGUGAAGUUUGGCAUUAUUGAUUAGAAGAAAAGCAUCUGGCUUCCAGCUUACAUUAAUGAGAUUCUUCAGUGCUUAUAUCAGAAAAGUAGGACAGCCUUCUUUCUCUGAUGUUGUUAGGAGGGAGCACAAGAAUAGGAGUUAUGGUGAUGAAUUACUGCCACGUUUGUGUGACUAGUAAGACGUGAUGGUGUAGACUGUUGCUCGAAGAUUGUGUGUUCCUCUCUUUUCCAUAGUUCCCAAGAAAUGAGUCGGCUCUGGUGAACUGGUGUGCGAAAAGCAUUACUUAGAAACUCUGGUAAAGUUAGGUGAGGCGGCCUGGCGCACUGCGGGCGGAAAACGUUUAAGCGAGAUCUUGCCCAUUAGCUGAUUUAGUUCUCCUUUGUGGUUUCUGAGAUGUCUUUCUGGUUGGCCAAACCCUCCUUGGAUAGGCUUCUUUUCUAAACUUAAGUACUUUAACUUAAAACAAU
This 1295-nucleotide long non-coding RNA is filed under the name Sorghum bicolor (sorghum). RNAcentral describes it as "long non-coding RNA (SBIC_LNC006086)". Lineage: Eukaryota; Viridiplantae; Streptophyta; Magnoliopsida; Poales; Poaceae. The record is from RNAcentral.